CCUACGGGAGGCAGCAGUGAGGAAUAUUGGUCAAUGGACGCAAGCCUGAACCAGCCAUGCCGCGUGCAGGAAGACGGCUCUAUGAGUUGUAAACUGCUUUUGUACGAGGGUAAACGCAGAUACGCGUAUCUGUCUGAAAGUAUCGUACGAAUAAGGAUCGGCUAACUCCGUGCCAGCAGCCGCGGUAAUACGGAGGAGUCAAGCGUUAUCCGGAUUUAUUGGGUUUAAAGGGUGCGUAGGCGGUCGGUUAAGUUAGAGGUAAAAUCCCGGGGCUCAACCCCGGCGAGCCGUUGAAACUGGCUGUCUUGAGAUGGCGAGAGGUAUGCGGAAUGCGCAGUGUAGCGGUGAAAUGCUUAGAUAUUGCGCAGAACUCCGAUUGCGAAGGCAGCAUACCGGCGGCGAUCUGACGCUGAGGCACGAAAGCGUGGGUAUCGAACAGGAUUAGAUACCCUUGUAGUC
RNAcentral lists this ribosomal RNA (459 nucleotides) under uncultured bacterium. RNAcentral describes it as "partial 16S ribosomal RNA". It matches the Rfam family "Bacterial small subunit ribosomal RNA", at positions 338 to 795 of the family's 1533-position model. The record is from RNAcentral.